GGGGAUUAUGCGCAAUAUAAGUUUUGCCUAAUGGUAAAAAUGUAUAAGGCUAAACUUAUACUUUCGAUUAGGAUCGGGAUUGAGAAAAAAAGCAGCAUGGCGCUGGAGCAGCUCGGAGAUCCGGUAUUUUUUUCAAUAGAUUGCAGUGGUUCAACGAAGUCAACGUUUUUUAUUUCGGUCUGCAGUGAAUGGUUACUCACCACGGAACGGAUCGAAAAUCUUGGCUCGAUCUGCCUGCCUACAGUUAAGCGAAAAAUGGCGAUGCACAGCAUAAACUGCUCGAGAGAAAAACAGUGAUUUGAAGAUCCCGAGCUGCAGCUGCAGAUCAUGAUCCGGUCAUAGUUAGCACCCACGAAAAAAAGAUGUAUUGCCCAAAGAAAAACCCGCUAGCAUAAUGAUAUGCGUCUACCUGAAUUAAAACCUGCAUCUUGUUUUAUGGAUGAUUUAAGAUGAAGUGUGUAGUGAAAUUUAAAUAAAGGAAAUAUGUUUAUUAUACAAAUC
This is a long non-coding RNA of Armigeres subalbatus, 501 nucleotides long. RefSeq lists it as uncharacterized. The record is from RefSeq and is a predicted model, not a curated record. NCBI's taxonomy places the organism in Eukaryota, Metazoa, Arthropoda, Insecta, Diptera, Culicidae. The transcript has 3 exons.